RNAcentral lists this non-coding RNA (481 nucleotides) under Mus musculus (house mouse). RNAcentral's name for it is "Eukaryotic small subunit ribosomal RNA". It matches the Rfam family "Eukaryotic small subunit ribosomal RNA", at positions 643 to 1112 of the family's 1831-position model. The record is from Rfam by way of RNAcentral. Lineage: Eukaryota; Metazoa; Chordata; Mammalia; Rodentia; Muridae.
ACUACUAAUAUUUUAUCAAAUAGACAUAGUAUCAACUAUUCUCCAAAUUAGUUUCUCUAAACCCAUAGACUAAUUUCACUCUGAGUCUUUAUCAAAGAACUAGUGGAGUUUUCUUUUACAGUAGAUAGCACUUAACACAGAAAGUCAUUACUGGCCAAAGUGCUGGUUCUGACAGUUGCUCAGCCAGAAAUGAGACAUCUGCAUCACACGUUAUCCCUAAAACUGGUGUACUAUCACUGAAGGGAGGCCAGUGGCAUUCAUAUUGUGCUGCUAGAGGAGAAAUUCUUGGACCAGUACAAGACCAGAGUGAAAACAUUUGCCAAGAAUGUUUUCAUUAAUCAAGAAUGAAAAUCAAAGAUUCAAGACAAUCAGAUACCAUCAUAGUUCCGACCAUAAAUGAUGCUGACUGGCAAUGUGGUGGCAUUAUUCCCAUGACUGAUUGUAAGAGCCAGGGUUUAAAGAGGACCAGAGUGAAACAGUG